This is a long non-coding RNA of Phlebotomus papatasi, 2147 nucleotides long. RefSeq lists it as uncharacterized. The transcript has 3 exons. Lineage: Eukaryota; Metazoa; Arthropoda; Insecta; Diptera; Psychodidae. The record is from RefSeq and is a predicted model, not a curated record.
AUCAAUACGUUUUAAGUGAAUAACUACUUAUUCUAAUCGAAUACAAUAUGUAAAAAUAAUUACAUUUUAUUAUUUAAACUUAAACUUUAGCCAAAUGAAACAACAUGUCAUUUGCAACUAAUUUCACAUUUUCGUAAAAACCCUCUUUUUCUCAUAAGUUCGUAAAACUACAGCUAGGGGUGCUAUAAUUAAAAAGAAAACUUUCCAAUUUUCUAAGUUAAUUAGCUCCGGCUCUAUAGCACGGAUCGGGCUGAAAUUUUGGUAGAGGGAGCGGAUUGAGCUAAAAAUUCUUCAUGAAUCUCUCUUAAACAUGCCUAAGAAACUUACUUAUGUUAUAAAGAAUAAGGUAAAUACCAAUUAUUAAAGCAUUCUUAUUGAUUAGGUUUUUUAAAUUUUCAUUUUAAAAAAAUUGAAUGAAUUUCGCUCUAAAUCAUCCAAAAAUUUAAUAUUUGGCUGGCGUACACGCACGAACGCAAAUGCACGAGGGUCAGUGUAUUGUGUUCUUCAAAUGACGUGAUUUGCAUAAAAUAAAUAAUAUUACUUUCUAUAUGCAUUGAUUAUAACAAUUAAUAAUUUGAAUGAAAUUUAUAUUUAUUUAGAAUGAAAAACCAAUCAAAUCUAAUACUAUUUUUUGAAUCAAUAGCAUAAGUAUUUGAAAAAAAGGAAACUACAUUCAGAUCUAUGACUGAUUCCAUCAGUACGGAAAACAUUAAAACGAGUCAGUCUUGAAGAAGCCGCUGAGUUGAAAAGUUGUCACACAAAUUAUUUCCAAUCUAUUUGAAAAUGAAAAAAAAACUAAAAAAUGGUUACAGUGGAUAAGUAAACUUAUAAAGUUGCAAAAAUCAUCAAGUGAUCGACAAAGAAAUUUGAUAAAGUGUUGGAAAUCGUUAGAUUGGGUAAGUAAAAAAAUGUUUGCCAGAAAAGUAUUAACCAUAUUCGGUAAAUUAAAUUAAAUUUAUUUCUUCUUUUAAGCUAAAAUGGAAUGUCAAACUUUUUAUUAUUUUAUUUAAAUUUAAAAUUCGUCGUAAGAAUUUUUUAUUAUUUAAUAUUUUACUAACGAUUUGUAAUUUUCGAUAUUGUUCAAGUUCAAUCGAUCAUCCUGAUUGCAAGUCAUUGUUGAUUGGAAACGUCCGUGAGCAGAAGCUGGAAAAUUAUCACCAUAUCUGUUUUAUCGAACUACUUUUCUUCAAAAAUUCCAUCUAGGAGAGACCUAAAUAGUAUCAAGGACAAUCAUUGUCUUUUCCAUGGAAUUGGAAAAGUGAUUCGCAGAUAGCAGCAGAACUCAGAGCAAACAGUAAAGGACGUAAAUCUGCAAAACACAACUUAGAAAAGUGAGCGCUGUAAUAAAAGUAGACGAGGAGCACUACCACUGAUCAAAUUUCAUUAUGUCAUCGUUUAUCUUUACGGGGCAAAAGACAAUCAGUCUUUUGAAGUAUCUUAUUUCUUCUGAAACUGGUAAACACUAUUGGGAGAAAGCAGAAGAGCAUACAUCCAAAAGCUGAGAAGAAGACUUCACGAAACUACUAGAAAGUCGUGCAACACCCCAUAGAAAUUAAUGUAAUACAAUUUUAUUGUGAAUACACAUUAUUUAUGUCAAAUAAAUUUAUUUUUGAAAUCAUAGCAAGAGUUUUUUAAAUAUACCCUGGUACUGUUAUAUCUACCCGAGGAUAUUAUUUGAAUUAAUGUGGACGAAUAUCAAAGCAAACAUAUUUGCCAUUGAAUCUAUGGUAAAGAACAUUUAAAUAUACCAAGGAAAUUUUUAAUUUUACCCAUUGUGUAUUUAAAUUAAUGGUAACUCGUAGUUAAAACAAAUAUUUCUACUAUUGAAACUAUGGUAGUGUUACCCAGAAAUUUUUGAUUCUACCCAUGAAAGUGUUUAAAAUCCACUUUAGAAAUAAAGUGCAAAUGUAUUUGAUUUAAAAGACAUGUUUUCUUUUCAAAUACAGUGCCAUUCAAAAUAAAUACAAAUAUAUUUGUUGUGGCUAUGAUUACUGCCUUUCAGAUCAAAUGUAAAAAUAUUUGAAGUAAAAGUCGUCUGUAUUCAAAUCAAAUAAAACAUUAGAAACAAAUGUAUUCUACCAUUGGGGCCAAAAUACCCAUAAUUUCAUUUGAUUUUACCCAGAAAAACAUUAAUACUACCCAUAAAA